Dipodomys ordii (Ord's kangaroo rat) is the source of this 126-nucleotide small nucleolar RNA. Lineage: Eukaryota; Metazoa; Chordata; Mammalia; Rodentia; Heteromyidae. The record is from Ensembl.
AGCCUCAUGCAUUACUUUUGGAAACUAGUGAAUGUGGUGUCAAAAAAGGCGCACAUAAAUGCUCUGCAGCCUUUUCCUGCCCUUAAAUUGUGAUGUCUUCGUGUUGGAGCUGCAUAAGCAACAGUA